RNAcentral lists this ribosomal RNA (403 nucleotides) under uncultured bacterium. Its description in RNAcentral is "partial 16S ribosomal RNA". It matches the Rfam family "Bacterial small subunit ribosomal RNA", at positions 29 to 526 of the family's 1533-position model. The record is from RNAcentral.
AUUGAACGCUGGCGGCAGGCCUAACACAUGCAAGUCGAGCGAGCGGCGGACGGGUGAGGAAUGUAUGGGGACUGCCCGAUAGAGGGGGAUAACUACUGGAAACGGUAGCUAAUACCGCAUACUAUCGGAUAACCCAUAUGGGAUUAGCUAGUUGGUGAGGUAAUGGAGCACCAAGGCGACGAUCCCUAGCUGGUCUGAGAGGAUGAUCAGCAACACUGGGACGGAGACACGGCCCAGACUCCGACGGAGGCAGCAUUGGGGAAUAUUGCACAAUGGGCGCAAGCCGGAUACAGCCAUGCCGCGUGUAGGAAGAAGGCCCUAGGGUUGUAAAGUACUUUCAGUCGGGAGGCGUUACCGACAGAAGAAGCACCGGCUAACUCCGUGCCAGCAGCCGCGGUAAUAC